UUGCUCGUCACCGCCGCGCGCGAAGGGAGGGGCUCAUCACUGCUGCUUUGCCCUUGUGUCCGUGCCUCCUGAGUUAUCCCUUUAGUUUUGGCUGGUUGGUUGCUUGGGAUUUUGGUGGUCUUCAUCAUCAUGCAAAAAAAAACUCAAGAAAAAAGAAAUGUAGACAGGAAUUAUUUGGAACCACAUUGGACUUGGAAAGAUGCAUGGAGUUUGUUU
RNAcentral lists this long non-coding RNA (216 nucleotides) under Crocodylus porosus (Australian saltwater crocodile). RNAcentral describes it as "lncRNA (ENSCPRG00005010477.1)". The record is from RNAcentral. Lineage: Eukaryota; Metazoa; Chordata; Crocodylia; Crocodylidae.